GGUUUGGUGGCCGAGCGGUCUAAGGCGCUCGACUUAAGAUCGAGUCUCGAAAGAGGCGCGGGUUCGAAUCCCGCUCAAACCA
RNAcentral lists this transfer RNA (82 nucleotides) under Nematocida displodere. It matches the Rfam family "tRNA". Rfam says of the family: Transfer RNA (tRNA) molecules are approximately 80 nucleotides in length. Their secondary structure includes four short double-helical elements and three loops (D, anti-codon, and T loops). The record is from Rfam by way of RNAcentral. Lineage: Eukaryota; Fungi; Microsporidia.